AGACGAAGGUGGCAACCGUUGUUCGGAAUCACUGGGCAUAAAGCGCACGUAGGCGGGAGUGCAAGUCGGGUGUGAAAUCCCUCGGCCCAACCGAGGAACUGCGCCCGAAACUGCAUUUCUUGAGGACAGAAGGGGAGCGUGGAAUUCCUGGUGGAGCGGUGAAAUGCGUUGAUAUCAGGAGGAACACCGGCGGCGAAGGCGACGCUCUGGUCUGUUUCUGACGCUAAGGUGCGAAAGCCAGGGGAGCAAACGGGAUUAGAUACCCCAGUAGUCC
This 274-nucleotide ribosomal RNA is filed under the name uncultured bacterium. RNAcentral describes it as "partial 16S ribosomal RNA". It matches the Rfam family "Bacterial small subunit ribosomal RNA", at positions 523 to 796 of the family's 1533-position model. The record is from RNAcentral.